CCCGCUGAACUUAAGCAUAUCAAUAAGCGGAGGAAAAGAAACUAACAAGGAUUCCCCUAGUAACGGCGAGUGAAGCGGGAAGAGCUCAAAUUUAAAAUCUGGUUUGCUGGCAUCUCCGAGUUGUAGUCUGAAGAAACGUUUUCCAUGAAAGCUGAGGCACAAGUCCUUUGGAACAGGGCAUCAUAGAGGGUGAGAAUCCCGUCCAUGGCUUCAAGUCUUUUAUUUUGUGAUACGUUUUCUAAGAGUCAGGUUGUUUGGGAAUGCAGCCUAAAAUGGGUGGUAAAUUUCAUCUAAAGCUAAAUAUUGUUGAGAGACCGAUAGCGAACAAGUACCGUGAGGGAAAGAUGAAAAGAACUUUGAAUAAGAGAGUUAAAAAGUACGUGAAAUUGUUGAAAGGGAACCGUUUGAAGCCAGUCUUGCUUACUUGUGAUCAGUCUUAGCUUCGGCUUGGAUGCACUCUCAGGUUAUGCAGGUCAACGUCAGUUUGAGAGGUGGGAAAAAAGCUUGAGGAAUGUGGCCUUCGGGUGUUAUAGCCUCUUGCUAAAUACCAUCUUAUGGACUGAGGCUCGCAGCAAAAAUGUGGGCAGGUUUGCGCUUGAGGUGAUCCAUUAUCAAGACAGCUUGCUGACUUGGUUUUGGCUAGCUUCACUGUGAGCUUCGCUUCUAAUUCGCUUAGGUCGUUGACAUAAUGGCUUUAAAUGACCCGUCUUGAAACACGG
RNAcentral lists this ribosomal RNA (719 nucleotides) under uncultured fungus. RNAcentral describes it as "eukaryotic LSU rRNA". It matches the Rfam family "Eukaryotic large subunit ribosomal RNA", at positions 24 to 664 of the family's 3401-position model. The record is from RNAcentral. Lineage: Eukaryota; Fungi.